Molecule: ribosomal RNA, 274 nt
Filed under: uncultured bacterium
Lineage: Bacteria
Description: partial 16S ribosomal RNA
Rfam family: Bacterial small subunit ribosomal RNA
Source: RNAcentral
AUACGGAGGGUGCAAGCGUUGUCCGGAUUUAUUGGGUUUAAAGGGUGCGUAGGCGGUGCGCUAAGUCAGUGGUGAAAUCCCGCAGCUCAACUGCGGAACUGCCAUUGAUACUGGCGCACUUGAGUACGGACGAGGUAGGCGGAAUUUAUGGUGUGGCGGUGAAAUGCAUAGAUACCAUAAAGAACACCGAUAGCGAAGGCAGCUUACUAGACCGUAACUGACGCUCAGGCACGAAAGCGUGGGGAGCGAACAGGAUUAGAUACCCCGGUAGUCC